RNAcentral lists this ribosomal RNA (253 nucleotides) under uncultured bacterium. RNAcentral describes it as "partial 16S ribosomal RNA". It matches the Rfam family "Bacterial small subunit ribosomal RNA", at positions 524 to 776 of the family's 1533-position model. The record is from RNAcentral.
UACGUAGGGGGCAAGCGUUGUCCGGAAUCAUUGGGCGUAAAGCGCGUGUAGGCGGCUCUGAAAGUCUGGUGUGAAAUCCUGCGGCUCAACCGCAGACUGUCACUGGAUACUGUCGAGCUUGAGUCCGGAAGAGGAGAGUGGAAUUCCUGGUGUAGCGGUGGAAUGCGCAGAUAUCAGGAGGAACACCGGUGGCGAAGGCGGGUCUCUGGGCAACAACUGACGCUGAGGAGCGAAAGCGUGGGGAGCGAACAGG